This 196-nucleotide ribosomal RNA is filed under the name uncultured bacterium. RNAcentral's name for it is "partial 16S ribosomal RNA". It matches the Rfam family "Bacterial small subunit ribosomal RNA", at positions 328 to 539 of the family's 1533-position model. The record is from RNAcentral.
ACGCUCGACACCUACGGGAGGCAGCAGUGGGGAAUAUUGCACAAUGGGCGAAAGCCUGAUGCAGCAACGCCGCGUGAGCGAAGAAGGCCUUGGUCGUAAAGCUCUGUCCUCAAGGAAGAUAAUGACGGUACUUGAGGAGGAAGCCCCGGCUAACUACGUGCAAGCAGCCGCGGUAAUCUGAGCGGGCUGGCAAGGC